AACGAACGCUGGCGGCAUGCCUAACACAUGCAAGUCGAACGAAGCCUUCGGGCUUAGUGGCGCACGGGUGCGUAACACGUGGGAAUCUGCCCUUUGGUUCGGAAUAACAGUUAGAAAUGACUGCUAAUACCGGAUAAUGACGUAAGUCCAAAGAUUUAUCGCCGAAGGAUGAGCCCGCGUAGGAUUAGGUAGUUGGUGGGGUAAAUGGCCCACCAAGCCGACGAUCCUUAGCUGGUCUGAGAGGAUGAUCAGCCACACUGGGACUGAGACACGGCCCAGACUCCUACGGGAGGCAGCAGUGGGGAAUAUUGGACAAUGGGCGAAAGCCUGAUCCAGCAAUGCCGCGUGAGUGAUGAAGGCCUUAGGGUUGUAAAGCUCUUUUACCAGGGAUGAUAAUGACAGUACCUGGAGAAUAAGCUCCGGCUAACUCCGUGCCAGCAGCCGCGGUAA
Molecule: ribosomal RNA, 450 nt
Filed under: uncultured bacterium
Lineage: Bacteria
Description: bacterial SSU rRNA
Rfam family: Bacterial small subunit ribosomal RNA
Source: RNAcentral